RNAcentral lists this ribosomal RNA (637 nucleotides) under uncultured bacterium. Its description in RNAcentral is "bacterial SSU rRNA". The stretch from base 1 to 545 matches the Rfam family "Bacterial small subunit ribosomal RNA", at positions 338 to 873 of the family's 1533-position model. The record is from RNAcentral.
CCUACGGGAGGCAGCAGUGGGGAAUAUUGGACAAUGGGCGAAAGCCUGAUCCAGCCAUGCCGCGUGUGUGAAGAAGGUCUUCGGAUUGUAAAGCACUUUAAGUUGGGAGGAAGGGUUGUAGAUUAAUACUCUGCAAUUUUGACGUUACCGACAGAAUAAGCACCGGCUAACUCUGUGCCAGCAGCCGCGGUAAUACAGAGGGUGCAAGCGUUAAUCGGAAUUACUGGGCGUAAAGCGCGCGUAGGUGGUUUGUUAAGUUGGAUGUGAAAUCCCCGGGCUCAACCUGGGAACUGCAUUCAAAACUGACUGACUAGAGUAUGGUAGAGGGUGGUGGAAUUUCCUGUGUAGCGGUGAAAUGCGUAGAUAUAGGAAGGAACACCAGUGGCGAAGGCGACCACCUGGACUAAUACUGACACUGAGGUGCGAAAGCGUGGGGAGCAAACAGGAUUAGAUACCCUGGUAGUCCACGCCGUAAACGAUGUCAACUAGCCGUUGGAAGCCUUGAGCUUUUAGUGGCGCNGCUACGACAUUAAGUUAGUACCGCCGUGGGUAGGUACGGCCGCGAACGGUUAAACGUACGAAUAGAAGUUAGUACGGCGUGAGACGUGACCGACGGACGACGACGAGGGAGGUUAGG